AGACAGCAUCCAACGUUGUCUGCCUACCAUUAACUUACUGUAGAGUCAGAUGUUUAUGAUUGCUGUUAGCUAGCUGACUUUAAAGUUGUCACAUGUGCGCUGCAGUUUUCGGGAAACCAGUGGCUCAGUUUCCUUUAUUAACUGGGAACGACACAUAAUCCAGUCUGGCCAACACACUGAGGGUCCAUAAGAGACCUGAUGACUUUCACCAUGGCCUGGUGGAGCUGAGCUUCACCCCUGAACAGAACAGUCCUGAACAGUCUCACUGCCUCUCAUACCCCAAGGACUUUAACGUGCAGGCAGCAUCAGCCUCGAGAUGGCCCGGAGCAGACAGGUCACCGCGAGGGAAAUUAUCACCGAAGAAAACUAAGAAAAAUUAGGAUUCCUGUCAUUUUAAUAUGUCUCUCAAUAUGUUUUCUUGUAUAAAAAGCCCCAAAUAAACACUGUAUACAGUCACUUGAUUACUUUGAAAGAGCACGUGUAUAGGAAAUCACUAUAAGUGGUUUCCAAAUGAGUUAACAACUCUUGCUGGACCAUGGUACACUCAUACAUACAUUCAUACACACACCAUGUUGCAUGAGCGAAUAAUCAAUGAUGUUCCCAGUGUACAGUUUCCACUAGUAUACAUGUUGUGGUCAUAAGAAGCCUCCUAACUUGAUUUCAAGAUCUUUAUGGUACGUUCGCAGAAUCAACUAAAUCAAUUAAUUCAGAAACCAGGGGUUCUAGAACAAUGUUUCUGGCAGUAUGUAGCAAAGCAGUAUUAUAAUCAGUAUUCGUAGAUGUUUCUAGCUGAGUGCGUGCUGUGUAUUAGUGAGCAUGAAUGGAAUGUAAUCAGGAUCGUGAUGGUGACAGCAUACUGAUAACGUAAUUGUUAUGGCAGCUGCAGUUUAUUCAAAAUCUGUGUGUUUGCUUGUGUGUACUGUAACAUCAGAAUGCUUCUCUCUACCUCUGUCCCGUGACCCGACACCAACAUGUGAGCGUUAGGAGCAGACAAUGCUGUGAACUGCUUGACAUUUUUGUACAGGUCCCAACAUUUCUCCCCCUCUUGUGAGAAAAAAAAAAAGAGUGAGCAAUUGUUGAGACAUUAAUUAACUGAACAUUGUUUAACUUCAUUUGCAAGCAGACAGUCUGGUAUGUGACAAAUGUGCUCUCGCAGUACAGACUUUUGGAGCGAGCAGCCGCUGUGAUGAAAAAUGCUGAAACUGAGCCAAAAACCCAAAAGCGACCAUAAAUGAAGACAUUAAGUGCCUCUUUUAAGAUGCAUCUAUAAUCCUCAGAGCCAAUUAUGUGCAUUAUUACACAAGGAUUUGCUCUACGUCUGAUUUUAAAUUUGGGAAAAUGUUGUGUUGACCAUCAAGACCGUCUCGCCAUAAACAUCACAUUUUCUGGAGAAUAUCUGAUUGAAUAAAGUUAUCUAAUUACCAGCCUGUGGUGGGAGGAGGAGGAGGAGGAGGAGGAGGAGGAAGCGUCUCAUUAACAGAUCAUAUCAAAUCAUCUUCACACUCUGGAAAUCUCAUUCAACAGCCACAGCUGAGAAGACUUAUAUCUCCGAGUUUCAUUUCCAGCUGCUAAUUUUCUCUCUGUGUCGGAGUCGCACUUAAUGAAAAUGAGCUUUCCGUCUUUUUAAAAUGUCUCCGAAACUACAGAUUCAUUUCUCAAAACGGAGACCGGUUAACCAUCCUGUCAGAACUCCACAUAUCUCUGGCAAAAUGAAACACUGUUUUUAAGUUGGUGGCAAGAGUCGGUUUUGACAAGCGUGAACAUUGUUUUAAAUGCAACAGUGCCGAUAUGAGUAUCUCUCACAGAGCAUCAUUUAAACACUGGUGUGCUAAAUCUACAACGCCUCCAUCAUAACACAUUUGGCUUCGUGAGGCUAUGCGACAUAUUCAACUCUAUAAAACUUGAUGACAUGGGCUCGGUUUUCUACUUUUUUAUUGUAACAUUUGUUUGAGUUUUGUCAGCCAUUUUCUUCUGCUGUUUUUCUAGGUCCAAGUUGUAUAAAUGCAGUAAAUCUGACAAACUGUUUUCAUUUCAAAGCUUCCCAAUUGACCAGCAACUGAAAAGAUGACGGGCGGUGAACACUUGGGAGGGACACGGAGCCAUCUUUCAAGGUAGAACACCACAUUUGAUGACCCGUUAGCUAACAAACUACAGUUUAAUUACAUCCAGUGUGUUUCACUCAAGGACGUUUAAUCAUAAUCAGUUACACUACCAGGCAAAUAUUGUUGUUUAGAAUUAUUUUACACGUUUCCUAUUGUGUUAUGUAGCAGGUAUCAAACUGUCCUCUUCGGUCAAACAGCAACUAACGAAAGUACUCAACCACUUCCUAGCUAACGGCUGAUCAAAAAAUGCAGUUUCUUCUUUAAUAUGACUCGAUGUCCCUCCGGGUUGUCAAAAUCUAUUGUUUUUUUCAUCCCCAUUCAGUCAGGAAGCAGUGACAUGAUAACAAUUUGUCAGAUACUCCAUGUCUACAGCACUUGCAUCCUGGAACAAAGCAUUAGAGCUUCCAACCAAUGUGCGUGAUGUCAGAGGAAAAUGUCUGCCAUGUGAAUAAGGCCCGUGCAUAUCUGUCUAUCCAGUGAGCUCCAAUUGGGUUAAAUUCACAACCCAGCUACUGAGAGUCAGACUGGAAACUUGCAGCCGAUGCGGUAAGAUUGAACCUUGGUUGCAAAGAUUUCAUUAGGAAUACUCCGUCACCUUGCUCUCCAUCCUCCUUCUCUCCCUCCCUGUUAUCUGUGCUGCUCCAUUUUUUUUUUCACCUGAGUGUUUAGAGUUCAGCAAAAAUGUGAUUAAGAAAGUCUAUUUGAGAGAAAACAGCAGAAUAUUGCUUCGGGUUAGGAAGACUGAAGGCUUUUUUUUUUCUGGAUUAAUUAGGUUCGAGUGGUCGGGCUUGUGUGCACGUAUACAGUGUGUGUGUGCAAAUUUAAUAUUCCACUUGAAAAACAUGUGAGGUCAAAGCUAUGCGUCGGAGUUUCCAGUCAUUAAUUCUAUAGACUUUCGUAUGAUUAUUUUACCAACUCGCUCACGGUGAACAUGCAUGCAAUUAAUGUGUCCUGCAGCUACAUCCGGCUGCAGGACUAUCUUUGAAUAGCUAAAGCACCGACUGCUCUCGUCAUGACUAAUGAAUGAGUCGGUGUUGGUGAAAUUCAAAGUACUUGUUGUGGCAUCUUUUGUGCGGGGAAUCCACUGUUCUCACGGGAAAACAUCACAGUGUUUCUGACACCGAGAAGGACGUGAAAACUGAAAUAACUACGGUGCAGUCGUCUUAAACGCCAGAGGCAGCCAACGGCACACUGAUGCAAACACACUCGCUGACAAUAAUUCAUGUGUGCUUACCAGCCUGCGCUCUCUGACAGAAACAUCACAAAAUUAGAACUUAUCGAACAUAAUUACUUCUGAUGACAUGCUUGGAAAUGUCUGUAAUUAAGAUGAUAUGUUUAGGAAUUUAAACCCGUCAGAAUUAUACGAGUCUAAUUUAUGUGGUCACGCGUUAGAUUUAAAGGCUGCCAGAGGAGUCUAUCUGCUGACACAGUGGCAGCAGUAAGCUGAUCAUAAUUCACAUGAAUGAAAAUCUAUUAAAACACGGCGUUAUGACCUUUUUUUGGAGAGAAAUCUUGUUGUUCUUUGAUGUCAGUGUGUUUAGCAUGGUUCUAAUUUAUCUGCUUGUAUUUUUUUCUAUUAAUAAAAACAGAUGGAACAUUAUUAUCUCUCUAUAGUUGGUGAUGUGAUGUUGGUGAGUUUGAUCUUCCAUCUGUCCAGAGGCAUAUAUCUCUGCAGCUACUGACCCGAUUGUCAUGAAAUGUGAUAAAUAUUCAUUUUUAGUGGUGCCACUGUCAGGCCCCUCGUGACUGGAUUUUCCUGUGAACUGACUGUGGAUCUUCAUGUUCUGCGGUAGAUGAAUCCAGUGUUUUUGGUGGAUAGCGCCACCAUCAAAGUCACUGUGGCAGAUUUCAAUGACAUUCACUGACAAGUCUGAAUACUGAAUGAGUUUUCCAUUUUAAAAUGUCAACUUUCAUGCAACACGUCUCAUAAUUAGAGAGACUGACAGGAAAUCUGAGAAUGAACGCAGCAGAUUUUAAUGACUGCUCUGCAUUCUGCCGAGGUCCUCCCUUGGGAUGCUUUCAUUGUUUUUUUAGAUGUUGCACUGGUGAAGUCAUGAGGAAAGGAAAAAUGUCAUUAUGUUAUUUAUUUCAUCCAAUACUGUUGAAUCAUGAGGUGUAAUAAAAGUCGAGCUCUCCGGGGGGACUCUUGCUGGAACUAGUUGUUUUGUAAUAAGACAUACCUUUUCACUCUGUAGGUAGCAGAUAUCAUAGUAAUCAGAGAUGGAAAGUGACUAAAUACAUUUUCCUCCAGUGCUGCAGUUUUAAAGUAAUUCCAUUUUAUAGAAGACUGAAAUAAUUGCUUACUUUGUAGAUUUAUUUUACUAAUAUUAAAUACAAUCAACAAAUGAAAUAUGAUUAUUACUGCUUGAAAUAAAACAUUAUUAGUCCCCAUGAGGGCCAGAUUCAUGAGCUACCCAGCAGUAUAUUAAGUAAUUAAAAAUGAGUCCCACCUUAGCCAGCAGCGUCAUUAAAGUGAUGACCAGUGUAUAAUGUUGACUGGCUAAAUCAAUAUUGGGACUUAAGUGCUCGUUUUCUAGUUUUUGACUGUCAGUUGCCUCCAGUGACAAUUCACAAUCUUGAAAUGAAAUUGAAGUAUCUUCAUUCAAACACCUGGGAGACAUGAUAGAUAACAACCUCUCACAGACGCCUCAUGCAGAGUUUAUUUGUAAAAUAAAAAUGCAGCAGCACAUUUACUUUCUCCACAGACUCAGAUCUUUUUGGAGCAAAUAGCCAGAUUAUCUCUCUGUUUUUCAAAUCAGUGAUUCAGAGUGUCGGCGUGUGUGCUGCAGCACAGCCUGGCUCUGCAGCCCGUCUGUGAAACUCGAAACUAAAAUUAUAUAAUCCACUCCGAAUUUGUGUGAAGGUAAUUGGUCAUCCUGUAGCACACUCCUUUCAUGGUCCUGACUGUUUGAUGUGCGUUUCUGAAUGUGAGCGGUAUGUGUAACAGUAUGUCGAAUCUGCAGGAGAACUUUUUGAGUGGAGACGUCUGAGGAUGCAAAAUGAAUUGCGGUCAACACCGAACUAAAGUUUUAUCGUAUCGUAACAAGACUACUUUUACUUUUGGUACUUUGAACUUAGUGUGAUGCUGAUACUUGUGUACUUUUACUUAAGGAAGAUUUUGAAUGCCAGACUUUUACAGGUGACAGUAUUUCAAAACCAGUGUUUCUACUUUUGCUCAAAGAUCUGAUUGUAAUCCAGUUGAAUGAACGUACAAAAGCUCUGCAUAUCUUCAUGUGAGAGGAAGGAAAUAUAAAAAACUAACAUCUUUUCUAAAAGAAAAUGAGAAGUGGCAGACACUCUGGCACUGAUGGAAAUUGAAACCGAGAGCCAAUCUCAGUGUACACAGUGCCACCUGAUCACAUAAGUUCCGAGCGCAGCAGCUUUACCAAAAAAUGUACCUUUGACAUUUAAUUAAAAUAUUACGAUCACAGCAAAUUAAUUUAUUCGGGUACAUUAAGUAAUAAAUCAAACUCUAUUUGAUUCACAUCAAAUAACAGAGCAGCUGCACUAUGAAGAGCUCUUCCACCUGCCUAGUGUCUGAUACAGUACCACAUUACUGUCUGUGAGAUAGUCCUGAGGAUGCCGGCUGAAUACUGAGCGCAGAUCGGGGCUGCUGCUUAUUCUCAGCACAUAUUUAUAGCCAUAAAACACUUGUGAAAUCGACAGCUACUGGAGAUUCUGUUGACUUUUUAUCAUACAUUUUAAAUACCAUGGGAUCGUGUCUCCUCGGUAUGUGACAGUACCAGAGAGUUGUGUCGUCUUGGUUUCCAAAAAAAAAAAAAAAAAGCAGAAUGUCAAGGGCCGGGCA
Acanthopagrus latus (yellowfin seabream) is the source of this 5910-nucleotide long non-coding RNA. RefSeq lists it as uncharacterized. The transcript has 3 exons. The record is from RefSeq and is a predicted model, not a curated record. Lineage: Eukaryota; Metazoa; Chordata; Actinopteri; Spariformes; Sparidae.